RNAcentral lists this unclassified non-coding RNA (2365 nucleotides) under Daphnia pulex (common water flea). Its description in RNAcentral is "(Lyso)-N-acylphosphatidylethanolamine lipase-like, transcript variant X4". Lineage: Eukaryota; Metazoa; Arthropoda; Branchiopoda; Diplostraca; Daphniidae. The record is from RNAcentral.
UUCACUCAUUACUAUUAAUACGCAUUACUUUGUUUUCUAGAUUUCCGUGUUCUGUUCAUCCAGCACCAGCAGAGUGGAUUAUUCUCUUUUCUAAUGCCUAUUCCAAUGAUCGAGAAAGAGUCUCAAAUGCAGAUCUCGUGAAACACGCCGGAUCCAGGUCUAUGUUGUGUGUAUGGUGCUAAUGUUCCUUUUCCACUACGGGACCAGAGUUCGACUUUCUUUUUUCUUCCAUUCGGUUUGCCCUGCCGACCUAUUUAUGAUGGCUGCAUCUUAGAUGACUCGUGAAUAAUUUAAAAAUCUUUAUUUGUUAUCUUCUGUUUAUGCAAUAAGUUGUUUACUAAUUAAUUUAUCCGACUAUUACCAGAUCCAAAUUCCAUAUUAGUUAACGAAAAAUUCCGAUUUGGUAACUAAUUUUAAUUUGCCUUCGUUGCCUUUUGUUCGGUAUGGUUUACUAAGCAGCUAGCACCCCUUCGUGCGUCAAGACCACACCAUAACGGUAUGGGUACCAAAGCGGUACAGCCGCUUCGGUUUCUCCAGGCUAUUCACUAUAGAAUAGAUGCCAUUGAUGACGACAGACAUCAUCAUGCAGAAACGCCCUACGAAAAAAGAGACCAAUAAAAGGCUGCCAUGUUCAUCUCUCACCUCAUAUGAUUUGAAUUAUGUCAGAUUAUGUUCUUAAAGGAGCUGAAAAAACUCUGAUUGACUCUAUCAAGUUUCCACAUGAAAUCAGAUUAGUCAACAUUGGGAAGUGUAUAGGAGAUACUACAGAAGAUAACUUCAUACUAACUUUGAUAGUGAACAAGAAUGGAGGAAAAUCACCGUUGGUAUUGCUGCAUGGUUUCACAUCAGGUAUUGGGCUGUGGUGUCUCAAUUUUGACGCUCUUGCAGAAGACAGGCCAGUAUAUGCAAUGGAUCUUUUAGGUUUUGGUUCUAGUAGCCGGCCUCACUUCAAUACUGAUGCAAAUGUAGCUGAGGGAGAAAUGGUAAAAUUUGUUGAAGAAUGGAGAAAAGGAGUUAAAUUGGAUCAAGAUUUCAUUUUGCUUGGGCAUAGUAUGGGAGCAUUUGUUGCUGCAGCCUAUGCACUUCGUCAUCCAGACAAGGUCUCUCACUUGAUUCUCGCAGAUCCUUGGGGAUUCUCCACUAGACCUUCUAACGCGCAAGGAAUUGUAUUCAAUAUGCUUCAACGAUUUCCCAAGUUAAAUCCCCUUAAAUUUAUGCGAUCUUCUGGACCGACAUUAGGACCCCAACUGGUGAAGUGUGUACGUCUUGAUAUUGGCCACUUGUACGGAAAAUUUUUUCCAGUUUCAGUUAUUGCCCAAUAUAUUUAUGAUUGCAACGCAAAACCGCCAACAGGAGAACACUGUUUUUAUUCAAUGGCGAGUGCGAGUCGGAUGUGUUUUUCUUUUAUGGAUAGCUUUCGAUGGGCCAAGCACCCUAUGAGAGACCGCAUAUGUAAGCUAAAACAGAGUAUACCUCUUACGUUUAUUUACGGCGAAUUAUCUUGGGUUGAUAAAAGUCCCGGAGAAUUCAUCAAAGAAAAGAGGGUAGGAUGUUUGGUUUAUAUCCAUAUUAUUAAAGGCGCCCGUCAUCACGUGUAUGCCGAAAAACCCGAGAAAUUUCACGAACAUGUGUUAGAUGCUUGUCAGAAAGCAGAUAAUUAGUAUUAUACACAGCAUUGUCCCAGACCUGUGCACAGGGAAGACAUUUCGAACAAGCCGUGAUCCUUAGAUUGCAAUGACAUUUAAAUGUAACAACACAUUUGAAAGUUGCUUUACUGUUUACUUUCAUCCAAUCUUGCUAUCCCUAUACUCAAUUAUCUACACGUACAAGUGUGCAACGGACGCUUUGGCCAGCUUUGGCUUUGGAAAUACUGAAAUUUGGUAUUCAUUUAUGAUUUAACAUUGAUCCCCUAUUUCCCUAUGCUUUGUGAACCAUAGGAUCUUUUCUGAAUCUCGCAAUUUUGGUGGCGCACCCUGCAACAGCAUGUUUGUUGUUGUGCAUGUUUUUACUUCUGUUUAGAAGGCAACCCAGCUAAGAGAUAGGUGAGUUUUAUUUCUCAUAGGUAAAUUUGUGAAAAUUUGUUAAUAAUGCAGAUAAUUUCCUUGUCCCAUAGCUGCUUAGAGUUUCAGUGACAUGAAGAGUGUGUAGUGAAUAACCUGCAAUGUGUAUGAAAAUGUACCAGAUCUGUACAUGAAAAAAUAUGUACAUGAGUACAGAUAUAACAAUUUUAUUUUUUAAAUCCAUAUAGGCCAUAAUCAUUUUAUUCUUUAUUUCCUUCUUUAUUCUCCCCAAUUAGGUCUUCUUUCAUAGGAAAUAUACAAUUUAUCAAAGGUGGACUAUAUUAACUCAGUUAUUUUAGGGUCCU